This 55-nucleotide ribosomal RNA is filed under the name Orbilia sp. 6179. Its description in RNAcentral is "partial 28S large subunit ribosomal RNA". Lineage: Eukaryota; Fungi; Ascomycota; Orbiliomycetes; Orbiliales; Orbiliaceae. The record is from RNAcentral.
UGACCUCAAAUAGACAGGAUACCCGCUGAACUUAAGCAUAUCAAUAAGCGGAGGA